Long non-coding RNA from Erpetoichthys calabaricus (reedfish), 325 nucleotides. RefSeq lists it as uncharacterized. Lineage: Eukaryota; Metazoa; Chordata; Cladistia; Polypteriformes; Polypteridae. The transcript is spliced from 3 exons. The record is from RefSeq and is a predicted model, not a curated record.
UCCCCAAAAACACAGCUGAAGAGCCUCAUCCUGACAUCAGCCAUUCUCAUCACAGCCAUCUGGUCUUGUCUAGCCGAGGAGCCCACAAAGGCGACCUUCUGUAUGGAUACGCCAGGAAGGAAUGGAAGAGAAGGAAUACCUGGGCCGCCUGGCCCGAAAGGAGAAAAGGGAGACACAGGUAUACCUGGCCUACGUGGAGACUUAGGACCAUCAGGCCCACGAGGAGCAGCAGGCCUAAGGGGUGAGAACGGAUUACCAGGACCCCAAGGCCCACCUGGACCUCAUGGAUUUGGAGGCGAACAAGGCGCACCAGGCGCACGAGGCA